Malus domestica (apple) is the source of this 2456-nucleotide RNA transcript. It is a transcript of the gene named putative CCR4-associated factor 1 homolog 4, with no coding region annotated. NCBI's taxonomy places the organism in Eukaryota, Viridiplantae, Streptophyta, Magnoliopsida, Rosales, Rosaceae. The record is from RefSeq and is a predicted model, not a curated record.
UUGCAUGAGACCAAACAGCAGGCAAGUAUUUUAGUUCUUGUUGUUCUUCACAAAGCUUAAAUUCUUGUCAAUAAUAAAGUUAACAUCUUGUUGUUCUACAGUCAUGUUUUAUAUUCCGACAUCAUAUCUUGAUCUGUGAUUGGCAAAGAAAUAACUGACUCUUUGGCUUCUGAAAUACUUUGCCCUUUUACAUGUUGAGCAUUGAUUGAAUCUAAUGCAACGCUAACCUAAGAAUAGGAUUCAAUUUUUGUGGCUAAACAAAGGUCAACUUUUUGUGUUUAUUCAAUCUCUCUUUUAUGUAUAACCCAUGUUUCAAGGUUGCUUUGCUACUCGCACUUAUAUAAUUAUGUUCAAUUUAUAUGAAAAAAGAAUUCCUUGGUGGAAUUAUACAAGAAAUAGAAAGUGAGCUUUCAGUGUAAUGCAUGCCAAUUACUAGUAAGCAUUCCCUACUUUGAACUCUUAGGUAGUUGGAAGAUACUGUGCCAGUUUGUUGUAUGAGGUAUAUACUUUUGUUUUGGCCCCUGUUCUAUGGUAGCAGCCACAAUUUCAAAGAUUUAGAAUAUUUGAGAUGGGAAAAUCCUCAUGUGUGUGUUUUAGAGCUGAUAUAGAAUAUUUCUUUCUAGCUGGGACAACCUUAUGACAUUAGAGUCCUUCUGAGAUUGACUACAAGACAUGUUUUGAACCCAUCUUUCUUAUAGCAUAUUGUGAAAAGGUUGCUGAUAGUUAUCCAUGAGAAUAGCUUCUGGUGUAGUAUUUGCAAGCUCGGUUAUUCAGGAACUGCGGUUACUUCUCAGGUAUGUUGCGUUCUUUUUUCUUACUGGCAGUUAUAUGUGUUUAGGAAAUCAAGCAUUUAACAAUCGUUGCUUGUUAAAUGUGUAACUCUCAGCAUUGUGGCUCUUCGUUUUUUGGGUAAAACAUUGUGGCUCUUUAAUGUCCUGUAAAGUUCAUUUUUGUGAAAAUGCUUUAACCAAAUGUAGAAUCAAAUGCGAAAUAUCUUUUGAUUGAAAUGGCGGGGGAUGUCGUUUGUUAUUGCUGUAAUGAGAAAUCACAGACAGUUCGCAAUGAAGAAGAGAUGGCAAUGGAAGGUAGCACGAGCGCAAGUAGUGAUGGGAGCAGGAAUUCGAGUUGCGGACACGAACACUGAUUAUCAUUUACCAGAGAAGAAGGAUGAUGAAGACUUUUAAGGCUUGGCUGAAAUUAAUUGUUUACAUAUUCUCUUUGUGAACUUUUGUUAAAGGUUUCUUUUUAAGGAGUUUUAUUGAGAUCCUAAGAUGUGGCGUGCAUAUAUAUAAACUGUGAUUACAGGCAAGUAAUCUUUGGAUGAAUUUUCAUGCUGAGCAUUGAUUGAAUCUAAGGCUUGAAAGUUUAUUCUCAUAAACGCUUCUCUAAGAAUAGGAUUCCAUUUUUGUGAGUAAACAAAGGUCAAUUGUUUGUAUUUAUUUCAAUCUCUCUUUUAUUUAUAUUCCAUGUUUCAAGGUUGCUUUGCUACUCACACUUAAAUAAUUUUGAUCAAUUUAUAUUAAAAAAGAAUUCCUUGGUGGAAUUUAUACAAGAAAUAGAAGGUGACCUUUCAGUGUAAUGUAUACCAAUUACUAGUAAGCGUUCCCUACUUUGAAGUCUUAGGUAGUUGGAUCAUACUGUGCAUGUUUGAGGUCUGCAAUCCGCUCUUUCGAAGAUUUAUUCUAUUCAAAACUUUGGAUAAUUAUCGUAAUAUGUGCACAGGUGAUAUAAAAUAUUUCUUUCUAGUUGGUACAACCAAGAUAAAUCUGACAACCUUUGUACUUCUGAAAUUAACUAUAAGAUGAGGUUUGAACCCUUCUUUAUUAUAGCACAUUCUGUGAAAAUUUAAUAUGUUUGGUACUAGGAGAAUGAUGUUGAAGAUGAAAGGGUGUCUGAUAAAUGGCUAUGAGAAUUGCUUCUGGACACUUAGUGUUGGUUAUUCAGGAACUGUGAUUAUUUCUCAGAUAAAGCCAUGUUCAGUCAUACAUGGCCUUUGCAUACCAAUCAUGAUAGGGGCGGGUUGUAAGAGAAGAGUUUGAUUCAGUGGAUAUGUUCCUAAUUCUGGAGAUGGUUUGAGAAGCUGUAAAAUAGGAGUACGGAGUGGGAUCAUCUCUCAGCAGUUACAUGACAGAGCUAGAAAAGUCAAAACCUGUCAUUUUAAGGUUAAAACAUUCGUCGAGUAGAACUUUUCUAGGAGAACAAAGGUGCCACGAAGAAGGAGAAGCUGUCAAUUGAAUCCACUGAGGUUUCAGCCUUUCAGGAUGGAGUCGGCCCAAAAGGAGGCCUGGAGGAAUAGAAGAUCAAGGCCCGGCCGAAACUUGGGAAAGCAGGAAAGGGCCUUUUCUGACUUGAUACAAUUCAUAAGGGCCACUUGCCUACCUACCCAAGGACCAAGUGGUGUAGACUGAUCAGACUGCACAGCCCAUAAAGUACUUUAUGGUGGCAUUACAUGUAAU